GCUCUUCCAGUGGAGACUAGUGCCCACUUGCUGAUCCACGGUGAUUUCCACUUCAGCCCAUGCUAUGCUGUGGUGAAGCUCCUCCAUGUUUGCAGAAGAGGUCUGAGACUUUUUUACUACAAGAGAAGAAACAGUGGUAUUGCAGAAAUGCAUGGCAGUGCUGUUUUACCAGCAGCAGAAAAGGUCUGCUGGAUGGAAACAUUUUGACCAGAUCUGUCAGAGACUGAAAUACUAAGAGGAGACAGAUGUUUAGCUGCUGACUCCAAGACCCUUAGUAUUAAAACAGUAACUACGUGGAUGGGUAAAUAGACCUGGAAAAAAAGGAAAGGCUGGGAGAGAAUGAAAGAAGAGAAACACUUUGGUUGGUUUGUUUCUCCCUCUUCUUCCC
This is a long non-coding RNA of Pogoniulus pusillus (Red-fronted tinkerbird), 388 nucleotides long. RefSeq lists it as uncharacterized. The transcript has 4 exons. The record is from RefSeq and is a predicted model, not a curated record. NCBI's taxonomy places the organism in Eukaryota, Metazoa, Chordata, Aves, Piciformes, Lybiidae.